This 600-nucleotide ribosomal RNA is filed under the name uncultured Inocybe. RNAcentral's name for it is "eukaryotic LSU rRNA". The stretch from base 273 to 426 matches the Rfam family "5.8S ribosomal RNA". Lineage: Eukaryota; Fungi; Basidiomycota; Agaricomycetes; Agaricales; Cortinariaceae. The record is from RNAcentral.
AAGUCGUAACAAGGUUUCCGUAGGUGAACCUGCGGAAGGAUCAUUAUCGAAACAAGCAUGGCGGGUUGUCGCUGGCCCAUACCAGGGUCGUGCACGCUCGUCGUUCUUCAUUUCUCCAUCUAUUUGUGCACCUCUUGUGUGGAUCCAUGUCCUGGGGACGAUUGGGGACUGCUUCGCAAAUACCUUCUUUGCAGGCUUUCCUUGUGUUGGAUCCUCAUUUUCUUCACAUACCACUAGAAAACAAUAGAGAAGGGUUGGAAAUAUAAAUAUACAACUUUCAGCAACGGAUCUCUUGGCUCUCGCAUCGAUGAAGAACGCAGCGAAAUGCGAUAAGUAAUGUGAAUUGCAGAAUUCAGUGAAUCAUCGAAUCUUUGAACGCAUCUUGCGCUCCUUGGUAUUCCGAGGAGCAUGCCUGUUUGAGUGUCAUUAAUAUCUCAACCGCAUGCGGAAAGUGUGUGGCUUGGACUUGGGGGAUAAUGCAGGCUCCGACUCGGUCGGUCUGCUCCCCUGAAAUACAUGGGCAAAGUAAAAAGGCCUCUUUGUUGGGUGUGAUAACAUUAUCUGCAUCCGAGAGGUCGUCUAAGUUUGCCGAAAUUGAAC